This 63-nucleotide transfer RNA is filed under the name Neotoma lepida (desert woodrat). It matches the Rfam family "tRNA", at positions 5 to 66 of the family's 71-position model. From Rfam's summary of the family: Transfer RNA (tRNA) molecules are approximately 80 nucleotides in length. Their secondary structure includes four short double-helical elements and three loops (D, anti-codon, and T loops). The record is from Rfam by way of RNAcentral. Lineage: Eukaryota; Metazoa; Chordata; Mammalia; Rodentia; Cricetidae.
AUAAAGUUCAGUGAUGGAAUGCUUGUCUUGUAUGCAUGAGGCCUUGGGUUCAAUUCUCAAUAU